Molecule: ribosomal RNA, 234 nt
Filed under: uncultured bacterium
Lineage: Bacteria
Description: partial 16S ribosomal RNA
Rfam family: Bacterial small subunit ribosomal RNA
Source: RNAcentral
UGAGUAACCUGCCCUUAACUUCGGGAUAAGCCUGGGAAACCGGGUCUAAUACCGGAUACAACGGACCACCGCAUGGCGGUCCGUGGAAAGCUUUAUGCGGUUUUGGAUGGACUCGCGGCCUAUCAGCUAGUUGGUUGGGGUAAUGGCUCACCAAGGCGACGACGGGUAGCCGGCCUGAGAGGGUGACCGGCCACACUGGGACUGAGACACGGCCCAGACUCCUACGGGAGGCAG